Caenorhabditis elegans is the source of this 81-nucleotide non-coding RNA. NCBI's taxonomy places the organism in Eukaryota, Metazoa, Nematoda, Chromadorea, Rhabditida, Rhabditidae. The record is from Ensembl.
UAUUUCCUUAUGUGACAGCUCUUCUCGUCUACAAUUCCCCCAACGCAUUCACUUCAGGAAACACGUCAAUGUUCAAAUUUU